UACAGUUUCAUUUUCUAUCAGUGUGCAUUUAAUUUUGCAAUGUUUAUUAUGUAUCUUUAUUUUUAAAUUAAUAAAUACAAUUUGAAAAUAUUAUUUUUCAUACUCUUCACUUGUUCUACACGAUAUCCCAAUAUUAUCGAUAAUUUCCGUAGAUAUUUCACGUUUUAUACCCGAUCCGAUGGUAUUUUAUUAGAAAACUGGAUGUGGGUAC
RNAcentral lists this long non-coding RNA (211 nucleotides) under Mytilus galloprovincialis (Mediterranean mussel). Lineage: Eukaryota; Metazoa; Mollusca; Bivalvia; Mytilida; Mytilidae. The record is from RNAcentral.